RNAcentral lists this ribosomal RNA (523 nucleotides) under uncultured bacterium. RNAcentral's name for it is "bacterial SSU rRNA". It matches the Rfam family "Bacterial small subunit ribosomal RNA", at positions 988 to 1509 of the family's 1533-position model. The record is from RNAcentral.
CCAGAGAAUUUAGCAGAGAUGCUUUAGUGCCUUCGGGAACUCUGAGACAGGUGCUGCAUGGCUGUCGUCAGCUCGUGUUGUGAAAUGUUGGGUUAAGUCUCGNAACGAGCGCAACCCUUAUCCUUUGUUGCCAGCACGUAAUGGUGGGAAACUCAAAGGAGACUGCCGGUGAUAAACCGGAGGAAGGUGGGGAUGACGUCAAGUCAUCAUGGCCCUUACGAGUAGGGCUACACACGUGCUACAAUGGCGCAUACAAAGAGAAGCGACCUCGCGAGAGCAAGCGGACCUCAUAAAGUGCGUCGUAGUCCGGAUUGGAGUCUGCAACUCGACUCCAUGAAGUCGGAAUCGCUAGUAAUCGUAAAUCAGAAUGUUACGGUGAAUACGUUCCCGGGCCUUGUACACACCGCCCGUCACACCAUGGGAGUGGGUUGCAAAAGAAGUAGAUAGCUUAACCUUCGGGAGGGCGUUUACCACUUUGUGAUUCAUGACUGGGGUGAAGUCGUAACAAGGUAAGCGUAGUGCU